GCAAGUCGAGCGCACCUUCGGGUGAGCGGCGGACGGGUUAGUAACGCGUGGGAACAUACCCUUUUCUACGGAAUAGCCUCGGGAAACUGAGAGUAAUACCGUAUAAGCCCUUCGGGGGAAAGAUUUAUCGGGAAAGGAUUGGCCCGCGUUAGAUUAGAUAGUUGGUGGGGUAAUGGCCUACCAAGUCUACGAUCUAUAGCUGGUUUUAGAGGAUGAUCAGCAACACUGGGACUGAGACACGGCCCAGACUCCUACGGGAGGCAGCAGUGGGGAAUCUUAGACAAUGGGCGCAAGCCUGAUCUAGCCAUGCCGCGUGUGUGAUGAAGGUCUUAGGAUCGUAAAGCACUUUCGCCAGGGAUGAUAAUGACAGUACCUGGUAAAGAAACCCCGGCUAACUCCGUGCCAGCAGCCGCGGUAAUACGGAGGGGGUUAGCGUUGUUCGGAAUUACUGGGCGUAAGCGUACGUAGGCGGAUCAGAAAGUAUAGGGUGAAAUCCCAGGGCUCAACCCUGGAACUGCCUUGUAAACUCCUGGUCUUGAGUUCGAGAGAGGUGAGUGGAAUUCCAAGUGUAGAGGUGAAAUUCGUAGAUAUUUGGAGGAACACCAGUGGCGAAGGCGGCUCACUGGCUCGAUACUGACGCUGAGGUACGAAAGUGUGGGGAGCAAACAGGAUUAGAUACCCUGGUAGUCCACACCGUAAACGAUGAAUGCCAGUCGUCGGGCAGUAUACUGUUCGGUGACACACCUAACGGAUUAAGCAUUCCGCCUGGGGAGUACGGUCGCAAGAUUAAAACUCAAAGGAAUUGA
Molecule: ribosomal RNA, 806 nt
Filed under: Sulfitobacter sp. MAR7
Lineage: Bacteria; Pseudomonadati; Pseudomonadota; Alphaproteobacteria; Rhodobacterales; Roseobacteraceae
Description: bacterial SSU rRNA
Rfam family: Bacterial small subunit ribosomal RNA
Source: RNAcentral